UUCUCCGUAGCAAGCUGGGGCCCGUUGCACAAAAGUAGGAUUAAGACAUCCAGGAUAAGUGACUGAGCCGGGCUCAAAGAAUCCAAAACAACAGCGUCCAGGCUCAGUUGGUUGCACAAAGCCCAAUCCAGGAUGAGCAGACACGGAUUCAUCAAGCCAGGUGAAACCUAUCCUGGAUAAGUGCGCGCUCGCGGCUCCUUCAGAUAGACCCCGCCACCGAUCACAGAUUCACUGAUUCACCAUGGCGAGUAGAGCGGCUUACUUUUCCCCGUCGGAGGGAGAAAUCCGGUUGGAGGCAUACGAGGAGGUAAAACACAUAAUUAAAAAAGUAAGGCAACACCGCCACAGUGAUAAAGCAAAGAGAAAACGCGUGGCAAAGUAUUGCUGACCGCCUGAAUGUGUAAGUAGUGCACAACUACACACUCACCGCUCCGCUGAAACAUCACAAUUACAAUCCAAAUAGUUAAUUCACAUCUCCAAAAACGCAGUUGUACUCUGACUAUGAAUGAGUUGAAUUUUUAAUUGAAGUGGACUAUAAAUAUGACUGAAAUUGUGUAAAUAUAACUCCACCAGACUGUAUUAUUCUUUGAUAAAUAGAUGAGCUAAUAAUAGUAAUAACAACUUUAAUUUAUGUAGCGCCUUUCAAAUGACCCACGGUCACUUACUGACUUCAUUGGAUUUCCUUUUGGAAUAGAUACAUUUUCUCUUUUCUUAUAUUUAGGGUGUAGCCUAUGUGUCUUCAUCUGUAAGAAAAGAUAAACAAUAGCUACUCAAUAAAAUUGAGGCAACAGAUUGCACGCAAUAUUAUUAAUUAAAUCUAACUACAUUACAAGUUGAGUUAAUAACAACUUAACAGGACGUGUCUGUCAAUUAAAAACGGACUAAUUCUGUUGUGUUGAAUUCAUUCAAAAUUCUCUUGAUUUAGAAUUACAUCCACAUAAAGAUGAUAUUUAAUGUGAUCAAAAUAAGCAGAUUCUAUCUCAAACAUUUUUAUAUUAAAGUUACUUAAACAACUGCCUCAAAAUUAAGGACACAUUUAUAUUUAAUACACUUGAUCAAAUAUAUAAAGUAAAAUGAAAUGACUACAGAAUAAUUUAUUACAGUGUCCUUCACUGGUCACAGAAGACUCUGUGACAUCAAAGAGGAGUUCUAUAGGAUUGCAGAUGGUCUGCAAUGCUGACUGUCUGAUCAACAGACAUGGACUGAGCCAGGCAAAAUGGCCUCAGUCCAUGACUCCAGAGUCUUUGGGACUUCUGAAAUCUGUCAGCGCCUAUCACAAGGUGAAUUCUCUGGUGUGUUGCUGGGAGACAGAGGGUCUGCCUGCCAGCCUUUUCUCCUGACACCAUCCACAGACCCCCAGGAUGCACAGCAGGCCUACAAUCAUGCUCAUGCCAGGACCAAGACCAGAGUUGAGAUGACCUUUGGCCUCCUGAAGGCACGCUUUCAGUGUCUUCACUGUCCUCCACAAUGUGGCCUGCCUGAGGAAAGAGAGGGCCCCCAGAGGGCCCCCAGCCAUGGACUGGGACAAUCCUGCAAUCUUCCCUGAUGACAACAGUGGUCGGAUGGUGAGGGACCAAUAUGUGUUAAAUUAUUUUAGUUAAUAUGCAUGCUUUAAAUUUAAGUUAAAUAUGUCCUGCAGUGGCAGAGGAAUUUGUGUGUUUUUUUUAUUUAUUUUUUUAUAGAUUUGGCCUCUUAUGAUGAUUGUGCUGUAUACUGUGUGUAUACAAGCUUGCAGGGAGGCUACUGCAUCAUUUGUCUGUUCAUUCGAUGUGUAUGGAUUUGUCCUGCAUUUAUUUCAGUGUGCAGACAUGCAGGGUGUAUUAUAUUCAGACCUUUGAAUGUGUAUUUAUCAUUGUGUUGUAUAAUAUACUUUGAUUCUGUGCUUUCUAUCUUGAAGAGUCACUGUGUCUUCAGUUUUGAAAGGAGCCGAUGUUUUACCUGUUUUGCUUUAUCCUUAUUCAAUAAAGGAACAUAAUGUUA
This is a long non-coding RNA of Centropristis striata (black sea bass), 1980 nucleotides long. RefSeq lists it as uncharacterized. The transcript has 3 exons. The record is from RefSeq and is a predicted model, not a curated record. NCBI's taxonomy places the organism in Eukaryota, Metazoa, Chordata, Actinopteri, Perciformes, Serranidae.